Molecule: ribosomal RNA, 63 nt
Filed under: Trieminentia corderoi
Lineage: Eukaryota; Metazoa; Annelida; Clitellata; Tubificida; Opistocystidae
Description: partial 5.8S ribosomal RNA
Rfam family: 5.8S ribosomal RNA
About the family: 5.8S ribosomal RNA (5.8S rRNA) is a component of the large subunit of the eukaryotic ribosome. It is transcribed by RNA polymerase I as part of the 45S precursor that also contains 18S and 28S rRNA.
Source: RNAcentral
UCGAUAUCUUGAACGCACAUUGCGGCCUCGGGUACUCCCGGGGCCACGCCUGUCUCAGGGUCG